GUGGCGUUAGCUCAGUUGGUAGAGUAUCGGAUUGUGAUUCCGAGGGUCACGGGUUCAAGCCCCGUACGUCACCCCA
This 76-nucleotide transfer RNA is filed under the name Massilia glaciei. RNAcentral describes it as "tRNA-His". It matches the Rfam family "tRNA". Rfam says of the family: Transfer RNA (tRNA) molecules are approximately 80 nucleotides in length. Their secondary structure includes four short double-helical elements and three loops (D, anti-codon, and T loops). Lineage: Bacteria; Pseudomonadati; Pseudomonadota; Betaproteobacteria; Burkholderiales; Oxalobacteraceae. The record is from RNAcentral. RNAcentral also lists the same sequence under 1 other name.